UACGGAAGGCAGCAGUGGGGAAUAUUGCACAAUGGGCGAAAGCCUGAUGCAGCUAUGCCGCGUGUAUGAAGAAGGCCUUAGGGUUGUAAAGUACUUUCAUCGGGGAGGAAAAAACAAAACUAAUAAUUUUAUUUCUUGACGUUACCCGAAAAAGAAGCACCGGCUAACUCCGUGCCAGCAGCCGCGGUAAUACGGAGGGUGCUAGCGUUAAUCAGAAUUACUGGGCGUAAAGAGCACGUAGGUGGUUUUUUAAGUCAGAUGUGAAAUCCCUGGGCUUAACCUAGGAACUGCAUUUUGAAACUGAAAUACUAGAGUAUCGUAGAGGGAGGUAGAAUUCUAGGUGUAGCGGUGAAAUGCGUAGAUAUCUGGAGGAAUACCUGUGGCGAAAGCGGCCUCCUAAACGAAUACUGACACUGAGGUGCGAAAGCGUGGGGAGCAAACAGGAUUAGAUACC
This 454-nucleotide ribosomal RNA is filed under the name uncultured bacterium. RNAcentral describes it as "bacterial SSU rRNA". It matches the Rfam family "Bacterial small subunit ribosomal RNA", at positions 340 to 786 of the family's 1533-position model. The record is from RNAcentral.